Molecule: ribosomal RNA, 404 nt
Filed under: uncultured bacterium
Lineage: Bacteria
Description: bacterial SSU rRNA
Rfam family: Bacterial small subunit ribosomal RNA
Source: RNAcentral
GGGCCCGCACAAGCGGUGGAGUAUGUGGUUUAAUUCGAUGCAACGCGAAGAACCUUACCAGGGUUUGACAUCCUGCGAAUCUCCUGGAAACGGGAGAGUGCCUUCGGGAGCGCAGUGACAGGUGGUGCAUGGCUGUCGUCAGCUCGUGUCGUGAGAUGUUGGGUUAAGUCCCGCAACGAGCGCAACCCACGUCGUUAGUUGCCAGCAUUCAGUUGGGCACUCUAGCGAGACCGCCGGUGAUAAACCGGAGGAAGGUGUGGAUGACGUCAAGUCAUCAUGCCCCUUACAUCCUGGGCUACACACGUACUACAAUGCUACGGACAAAGGGCAGCAAACUCGCGAGAGCUAGCAAAUCCCAUAAACCGUGGCUCAGUUCAGAUCGUAGGCUGCAACUCGCCUACGUG